UACGUAGGGGGCGAGCGUUGUCCGGAAUCAUUGGGCGUAAAGAGCGUGUAGGUGGGCCGGAAGGUCUGGUGUGAAAGCCCGGGGCUCAACCCCCGGAGGGUCACCGGAAACCGACGGCCUUGAGUCCGGAAGAGGAGAGUGGAAUUCCUGGUGUAGCGGCGGAAUGCGCAGAUAUCAGGAGGAACACCGAUGGCGAAGGCAGCUCUCUGGUACGUGACUGACACUGAGACGCGAAAGCGUGGGAGCGAACAGG
This 253-nucleotide ribosomal RNA is filed under the name uncultured bacterium. Its description in RNAcentral is "partial 16S ribosomal RNA". It matches the Rfam family "Bacterial small subunit ribosomal RNA", at positions 524 to 776 of the family's 1533-position model. The record is from RNAcentral.